AACGCACAUUGCGCCCUCUGGUAUUCCGGAGGGCAUGCCUGUUCGAGCGUCAUUUCAACCCUCAAGCCUGGCUUGGUGAUGGGGCACUGCUUCUUACCCAAGGAGCAGGCCCUGAAAUUCAGUGGCGAGCUCGCCAGGACCCCGAGCGCAGUAGUUAAACCCUCGCUCUGGAAGGCCCUGGCGGUGCCCUGCCGUUAAACCCCCAACUUCUGAAAAUUUGACCUCGGAUCAGGUAGGAAUACCCGCUGAACUUAA
RNAcentral lists this unclassified non-coding RNA (255 nucleotides) under uncultured Phomopsis. RNAcentral describes it as "partial contains 5.8S ribosomal RNA, internal transcribed spacer 2, and large subunit ribosomal RNA". The stretch from base 1 to 52 matches the Rfam family "5.8S ribosomal RNA", at positions 103 to 154 of the family's 154-position model. Lineage: Eukaryota; Fungi; Ascomycota; Sordariomycetes; Diaporthales; Cytosporaceae. The record is from RNAcentral.